AUAGCAGGGAUUGUAUGUAUUGGUAUUAUGUGGUGAUCAUGUGCUUUAUGCUGAAAUAAUUCCCCAUUCCCUGCAACAUUCAUUGUUGAAGAUGUGCAGUUGAGGUUCUUCUCAUCUACGGACAUCUCAACAAUCAUGCCCCCCUAUAUUU
Molecule: non-coding RNA, 151 nt
Organism: Spinacia oleracea (spinach)
Lineage: Eukaryota; Viridiplantae; Streptophyta; Magnoliopsida; Caryophyllales; Amaranthaceae
Source: Rfam